RNAcentral lists this ribosomal RNA (345 nucleotides) under Colophon izardi. RNAcentral describes it as "partial 16S ribosomal RNA". Lineage: Eukaryota; Metazoa; Arthropoda; Insecta; Coleoptera; Lucanidae. The record is from RNAcentral.
AUGGCCGCGGUAUUUUGACCGUGCAAAGGUAGCAUAAUCAUUAGUUUUUUAAUUGAAAGCUGGAAUGAAUGGUUGGACAAGAAAAUUUCUGUCUCUAUGUAAGAUUUAGAAUUUUAUUUUUUAGUUAAAAAGCUUAAAUUUUUUUAAGGGACGAGAAGACCCUAUAGAAUUUUAUAUAUUUAUAUGUUUUUAAUGAUUGGGUUGUUUAUUCGAGGAUGAAUUAAAUAUAUUUGGUUGGGGUGAUUGAAAAAUUUAAAUAACUUUUUUUUUAUCUAGUUCAUUGAUUGAUGAAUAAUUGAUCCAUAAGUUGUGAUUAUAAGACUAAAUUACCUUAGGGAUAACAGC